RNAcentral lists this ribosomal RNA (468 nucleotides) under uncultured bacterium. RNAcentral describes it as "partial 16S ribosomal RNA". It matches the Rfam family "Bacterial small subunit ribosomal RNA", at positions 28 to 507 of the family's 1533-position model. The record is from RNAcentral.
GACGAACGCUGGCGGCGUGCUUAACACAUGCAAGUCGAACGGAAAGGCCCUGCUUUUGUGGGGUGCUCGAGUGGCGAACGGGUGAGUAACACGUGAGUAACCUGCCCUUGACUUUGGGAUAACUUCAGGAAACUGGGGCUAAUACCGGAUAGGAGCUCCUGCUGCAUGGUGGGGGUUGGAAAGUUUCGGCGGUUGGGGAUGGACUCGCGGCUUAUCAGCUUGUUGGUGGGGUAGUGGCUUACCAAGGCUUUGACGGGUAGCCGGCCUGAGAGGGUGACCGGCCACAUUGGGACUGAGAUACGGCCCAGACUCCUACGGGAGGCAGCAGUGGGGAAUAUUGCACAAUGGGCGGAAGCCUGAUGCAGCAACGCCGCGUGCGGGAUGACGGCCUUUGGGUUGUAAACCGCUUUCGCCUGUGACGAAGCGUGAGUGACGGUAAUGGGUAAAGAAGCACUGGCUAACUACGUG